AGCAUAUAGCGUUGUUAAAAGCGGUGCGUGAGUGGGUGAGAUCUUUUGGGCGGUGGCACUUUGUCCACGUUGCAGUAAAUCUCUUCUGCCAUUUACUGUCACUCAUCGCGCCUUUUUGGUCAGCGCAGCUUAGUUCGGAAAUAUGACCAAAGAUUCGCAUAGUGCAGAUAAAUGGCAGUGGCGCGAGUUCUCUGAACUCUAUUUGAGGAAUGCCUCUGCUCCAGUGACAAUGGCAUUGAAGCAUGUGGAUCAUUGGCUGUGUGAUAAAACAUACUUGGUCGGAACUGAAGCCACAUCCAUUGACUCAGAUAUCUUCAGACUUAUUCAUCCUGCCAUGGCCCGUCUGUCCCACCAGGAGCGCGAGGCGUACCCGCACCUGUGCCGCUGGUUUCGGCUGGUGCAGAGCACCGAGCCGGCCAGCGCCGGCCGCGCCACCGUCGUCAUCAGCCGUGCCCGGCUCUACGCGUGAUGCCGGCGAACGCGCGCCCGGAGCGGGGUCUGCUCGGGAUGGGGGCGAGAUGCGGGCGCCGGCUGCAGCUCGUCCGGCGACGCGAACGGGGUGUGAACCUGUGGACCAGCCCUGCCACUGGCGCAGACCGAACGCAGGCCGAUUCUCCCCCCCCCCCCCCACACCCACACCCGCACUCAUGAUGUGGGCAACAUGCAGACUCAUGGACAUAUCUCGUAGAACACGGUGACCCCGCUCGUUACGAGUAGACGCCAUCUCUACUCGUCAUGCAGAGGGAGGGAGGGAGCGCGGGCUGCCAGCCUGACUCGACUCGUGUUGUGGAGCGACCGACCAUGUUUGGACUCGGCUGAGUGCACGGAUGGAACGCUGGGCUCAGUAAACAGCUUACAGAGUUCGGUCGUCACCAGAAGGCUGAUCACUGCUCGAUCAAUGUCGGCUGAUUAAGGCUUGCCCGGCAAAUUCAGUUCUGCCGCGUCAUUCGGCGCUCGUCAUGCGUUGAGAGCUGCGCUGUUUUGCCGGUAAGGGCCAGGCGCGGACUCAUGGGAUCUUUGUGCGCUUGUUGUCCGGUUCUGGGCGCGGGAGGACUGAGGGUGAGGUCGCCGUUUUACUUGUGGACAUGCUGUUUGCAGGUCGACAGUUCGCUCUGAUCUUCCUUCUGGGCGUCUGGCUGCGAUUGGCGGGAUUUGUGGUGUGCGUUGAUGGCGGGGGUGACUGGUGGUGCUCGCAGUGUUCAGCAAGGCUGGGAUAACCACAUGGAGCUAAACGGCAGACGUGUGGGCCGUGGUCGCAUUGUGAAAACCUCGACAUUAUGAAAACUUUGACAGGGUUGCGUGAUGUCUUCGGUUGUGACAUAAAUGAUCAAUCCAUACGAAAGAUGGUA
Molecule: long non-coding RNA, 1349 nt
Organism: Pollicipes pollicipes
Lineage: Eukaryota; Metazoa; Arthropoda; Thecostraca; Pollicipedomorpha; Pollicipedidae
Exons: 3
Source: RefSeq, a predicted model, not a curated record